AGCUUUGUGCGGUGGCAGUAUCGUAGUCAAUGAGGUUUAUCCGAGGCGCGAUUAUUGCUAAUUGAAAACUUUACUCAAAUAGUCUUUCUGAUCAGCCGUUUUUUUCUCCUCCUCUGCAUGUUGGUUGUAGGUCCCCAUCCUCCGCUGAUCCUAGACAGAUCUUGAAAGGAGUCUUGGCAACUUGAAGGUGUACAAG
Heterocephalus glaber (naked mole-rat) is the source of this 196-nucleotide small nuclear RNA. Its record names the gene U4. It matches the Rfam family "U4 spliceosomal RNA". Rfam says of the family: U4 small nuclear RNA (U4 snRNA) is a component of the major U2-dependent spliceosome. The structure of U4 snRNA from yeast and human has been reported. The record is from Ensembl. Lineage: Eukaryota; Metazoa; Chordata; Mammalia; Rodentia; Bathyergidae.